RNAcentral lists this ribosomal RNA (417 nucleotides) under uncultured soil bacterium. RNAcentral's name for it is "bacterial SSU rRNA". It matches the Rfam family "Bacterial small subunit ribosomal RNA", at positions 26 to 426 of the family's 1533-position model. The record is from RNAcentral.
AGAACGAACGCUGGCGGCGUGGAUAAGACAUGCAAGUCGAACGGGAUUACUUUUGGUAGCAAUACCGAAAGUAAUUCAGUGGCGAACGGGUGCGUAACACGCGGGCAAUCUGCCGAAAAGUGGGGGAUAGCUCGCCGAAAGGCGAAUUAAUACCGCAUGUGGUGAGGGACGACAUCUUCCUGAAUCCAAAGCCGGGGCAACCUGGCGCUUUUUGAGGAGCCCGCGGCCUAUCAGCUUGCUGGUGAGGUAACGGCUCACCAAGGCUUUGACGGGUAGCUGGUCUGAGAGGACGACCAGUCACAUUGGAACUGAGACACGGUCCAGACACCUACGGGUGCAGCAGUCGAGAAUUUUCUCAAUGGGGGCAACCCUGAAGGAGCGACGCCGCGUGGAGGAUGAAGGUCUUUCGGGGUUAGU